UAUAUAUAUUGGUAAAGGAUGGAUUCAGUUGUUAAUUAUUCAAUUUUUUUUGAUACACUUCAUCUUGAAUUUGAAUUCUAUCGAUUGUUAUUAGAGUUUUUUUAUAAGAGAGUGACACGUAAUUUGUAAAUAUCAAAUAAUUUGUAAGCUCUCUCUAAUCCUAAGAAGGAAUGCAUUUUACUAAUUUUUUUUAUAAAAAAAAGAAAAAAAAAAACUCGCAAGUCACAACCCUUUUCACCCUUUACCUAAAUCUAUAAUUAUGCACAAGAAAAACAAUUCCAAGUUAGACUUUGUUAUUGCUCCAUUUAUGCUUUGUCAGCUCUGAUUUUCCAUAGGUUGUGUUUGGCUGAGCCGGUGGGCUGCAGCGCAUCCAAUAACGUGCCUGUGGCAAGUAAUUAAGUGGUCAUUGGUCAAGCCAGCUGCUUGCAUGAAUGAGUGAACCACGGUUGGACCCGCGAACCUAAACCCCCUUCUCACCAUGUCUUUGCUAAUACUCUCUGAUUUUGAAGUCUUGACUGGAAUCUUGUGUCCAAAUUUGUACUGGGUUGGGAUUGGCUUGUUGUUCACAAAUGCCCAUAUGUAUUUCUCAAAGGAUCCAAACUCCUUUCUUAUCUCAAGAAUUCUGUUAGAGUUGUCAACAACUCCUCGAACCCUGCUUAUAUCAAUUCCAUAUUCUAUACUGAUUGACGUCAUUUGUUUUUCAGAAAUAUUGGACACAGUUUCUGCAUCAAACCCUGAAAACGCAUCUCGGAAGUCUUGACGUUUCUUCAAGAUUGAAGUCCAAUCUGAACCCACCUGAGCACUACUCAGGACUAGCAAUUCAAACAACAACUUAUCAUCAUGGACAGGAACUCCCCAUUCUUGAUCAUGGUAAGCAACAUAGAUGGGAUCAGAAUUUGGUGUGAUAAAACUGCAUCUCUUCUCCUCUUCAUCAGGCUUAGUGGUUGAAGAAUCUAUAGGAACAACGUUGGAUUCAAACUUGGCAGACUUUGAUCUUCCAUAAUGAGCAAUUCUCAUCUUUCUUUGUGCAUGUUGAAGAGCCAUUUGUUCUCUUCUCACCGCAGCAAUACUUCCUGGUGCCUCAACGAUUAACAAAGAAGAAUAACUUAAUGAUGCUUCUGCAGAUGAAGAAGAAGAAAGUAUUCCAAUCCCAACACUGCUUUCUUUAAAACUUUUAGAUUUCUUCCUCUCUAAGCCUGGAGCUUUUGGGGUGUUUCUUGGAAUCACAACCUUCUCAGAACUUGAAUUCAAGCCGUUAGGAUCAAUUCCUCUCUUGAUAGCUGUUGGUCUCGGUGAUUUAGACUUUGGAGAUAUAGGAGCAAUACUAGGAAAAGUUGACGGUGGUGGUGGUGGUGGAGGAGGA
Molecule: unclassified non-coding RNA, 1363 nt
Filed under: Hevea brasiliensis (rubber tree)
Lineage: Eukaryota; Viridiplantae; Streptophyta; Magnoliopsida; Malpighiales; Euphorbiaceae
Source: RNAcentral